RNAcentral lists this ribosomal RNA (2992 nucleotides) under Betula nana (alpine birch). RNAcentral's name for it is "bacterial LSU rRNA". It matches the Rfam family "Bacterial large subunit ribosomal RNA", at positions 1 to 2249 of the family's 2925-position model. The record is from RNAcentral. Lineage: Eukaryota; Viridiplantae; Streptophyta; Magnoliopsida; Fagales; Betulaceae.
UAUAAUCAACUUUAUAUUUAGAUAUAUAAAGAAUGUAUAAAAAGGGACUAUUAUGGAUUACUAGCUAACAUAUCAAGGAGGGAGCUAACGCCCCAAAAUCAUAGUUAAAAAAUUAUCUAUGUAACUCCUAAGGGAAACCAAAUAUAAUUACAGAGUGAAGUGAAACAUCUAAAUAACUCUAGGAAAAGAAAUCAACCGAGAUUCCAUUAGUAGUGGUGAGCGAACGUGGAUUAGCCUAUAAUAUAUAUUCGAAAUUAUUCGAAAAAUAAACCUUAAGAUUUAUAUAUAAUUAAUAUAGAAAUAAAUAUUUAUGGUUAGAUUAAGGGAUUAAUAGAUUUGAAGAUCUAGCCAAAGAUGGUGAUAAGCCCAGUAACAACCUUAAUAUAUAUUUAAACAAGUAGAACGGGAGAAAACCUGUUUGAAUUGUUUCUCCUUUUAUGUUAUUAUAAUUAUAAUAAUAUAAAAGAUAUGGGGGAACCAUCCUCUAAGGCUAAAUAUGGUAUGUUAAGCGAUAGAGAAAGUACCGUGAGGGAAAGUUUGAAAAGAUUUGCCUAAGGCAUAGUGAAAAAGAGAUGAAAUAGUAGUUCUAUAAGCAGCCGGAAUAAAUUCUUUAAUGAAUAAUAACGGUGUACCUUUUGCAUAAUGGGUCAGCAACUUAAUCGGUGGUGCAAGCAGAAAUGCCUAGACAAAACGACUAUAUUAUGAAUGAUGGGAAUAAAUAAUAAAAUUAUUAUUAUUAAUAGUACCCUCGAUUAGACCCGAAACCAAGUGAUCUUACCAUGGUCAAGUAUAUAAAUGACUGAACGGAUGUUUGUCGCAAAAAGCUCCGAUGAACUGUGGUAAGUAAGUGAAAGACAAAUCUGACUUGGAGAUAGCUGGUAUUCCGCGAAACCUAUUUUAGUAGGUCAUCUAUUUAAACUUAUUAGUAUUUUUUAUAUAGUUAUAUUAAAUUCUUUUUGAGUUAUUUACUUAUUAGCAGGUACAGCACUUGAAUUCCAUAAUUUAUAUUAAUUAUUUUUUAUUAAAUAUAAAUUUAUAUUGGGGGGUCGUGAAGGCUCUAUCAUUGGAAAUUAACCUCGGAAUGGCAAAUAAGAAUAAUAGACAAUCAGACACCUGGUGCUAAGGUCAUGUGUCAAAAGGGAAACAGCCCAGAACAAGAAAAUUAAGGCUCCUAAAUUAUUGUUAAGUGAAAUAAAGGGAGUUAUUCACCUUAUACAGCCAUGAAGUGAGCUUAGAGGCAGCUAUCUUUGAGUAUAGAAGUACUUAAAGGAACCCCUGAUCAAUGGCGGCCUUAACUAUAAUUAAAGACCGCGUAAUAGCGCAGUGGUCCAAUAAUUAAAGGGAGAAUAGCACCGAAAAUUUAUCGGAUCUAAACAAUAUGCCGAAAUCUUGUCUUUAUAUUAUAUAUAUAAUAUAAAGGGUAGCGGAACAUUCAGUAAAUGUAUGAAGAGUAGUGUUUCAUUACUUGGACAUAACUGAAGAGAGAAUGCUGACAUGAGUAACGUUAAAGGUGGUAAUAUAAUCCACCUCGCCUUAAGCAGAAGGGUUUCAAGGCAAUGCUUAACAGCCUUGAGUAAAGUAACGGCCUCUAAGAUAAUAACCGAAAGGGUUAAAACGAUGAGAAAAACUUCUUUUUGAAUAAAAACCUAAUUUAUUAGUUAAAAGGUUCAGGAAAAAACAAAAAGAUUGAUUAAAUAAACCGUACCCUAAACCGACACUGGUUUGCUGGUAGGGAAUACUAAGGCGUAUGAGAGAACUAUCGCGAAGGAACUCGGCAAAAUGCCUCCGUAACUUAGGGAGAAGGAGUACCGUAUUGAUGAACUCAAACGGCCACAGAAAAUCGUGUUGUACAACUGUUUACUUAAAACACAGUACUUUGCAGAGACGUAAGUCUAAGUAUAAGGUAUGAAAUCUGCCCGAUGUCAUAGGCUAACUAAGAGUAUAGAAGUACUUAAAGGAACCCCUGAUCAAUGGCGGCCUUAACUAUAAGGGUCCUAAGGUAAGCUUUGAAAUAAAAGCUAGUAUAAUUUAUACGCUGCCUAAUGACUUUUCUUUGUCAUUUAAACUUCACUGUAUGCUGGGAUAUCCUUAAGUUAAAUAUAAUAACUCUUUUUUGAUAUAUUAAAUUCUAACAGGACAAUCCGCAGGAAACCAAUAUUUAAGUUAAAUUAAAUUAAAAGGAUCCUCAGAGACUAUACGUGAAGAACAAAUAAACUUAAAUAUUUGUUUCUGUUUCCAAAAUUAACAAAAUCAUGAAAAAAAAUAUUGAAUUCAAUCAAACAAAUUUACAUCCGGCUUGGAUUGUCGGAUUUAUAGAUGGCGAAGGAACUUUUUUUAUCGGUAUUAACUCGGCUAAAACUAUGAAAUUAGGUUAUCAAGUUCUUCUUGAAUUUGUUAUCACACAACAUAAAAAAGAUUAUGACCUUAUGGUUAAAAUUAAAAACUUUUUUAAUUGUGGAUACCUUGUAAAAGAUGGAUCUGAUAAAUAUCAAUUUAGAAUUAGAGGAUUAGAACAAUUAGAAAAUAACCUUCAAUAAAAAAUGAACAAAAAUAAAAUAAAUUUAUUUGUUAUGAUAUAGUCCAUAUUUACUUUAAUAGGUAAAGAUAAAAGAGCGAAAUUCCUUGGCCGUUAAAUGCGGUCCAGCAUGAACGAUCCCAUGAUACAACAGCUGUCUCCGCGAUAGACUCAGUGAAAUUGGAAUAGCUGUGCAGAUACAGUUUACCCAUAGUCAGACGGGAAGACCCUAUGCAGCUUUACUGUAACUAGUUAUUGCUUACGAUCGGAUUAGGUUGUAGAGUAUAAGGUAGUCGAUUAGACCUAUGUGAAACACCUUUACCUAUUAGGCCGUAAGCUGGUAGAGCUAUCGCUUUACCCUUUAUCAAAAUUAUAUAAUUGAGAAAGUUUCUAUUGAAAUAUAAAAUUGAUAUUUUAGUUGUGUAAUAACAAUUAAAAUAUUCAAUAAGAAAAAGAGCAGCUGUUACUUUAUUUUUA